Molecule: non-coding RNA, 75 nt
Organism: Dallia pectoralis (Alaska blackfish)
Lineage: Eukaryota; Metazoa; Chordata; Actinopteri; Esociformes; Umbridae
Source: the annotation of a GenBank genome assembly
GGUCCCGUGUCGCUCAGUUGGUAGAUCAUGAUGCUAACGAUGCCAAAGUUGUAGGUUCAAUUCCCGCAGGGGGCC